UACGUAGGGGGCAAGCGUUGUCCGGAUUUAUUGGGCGUAAAGAGCGUGUAGGCGGCCAUUCAGGUCAGCUGUGAAAACUCGAGGCUCAACCUCGAGACGUCGGUUGAAACCGUUUGGCUAGAGUCCGGAAGAGGAGAGUGGAAUUCCCGGUGUAGCGGUGAAAUGCGCAGAUAUCGGGAAGAACCCCCGUGGCGAAGGCGGCUCUCUGGGACGGUACUGACGCUGAGACGCGAAAGCGUGGGGAGCAAACAGG
Molecule: ribosomal RNA, 253 nt
Filed under: uncultured bacterium
Lineage: Bacteria
Description: partial 16S ribosomal RNA
Rfam family: Bacterial small subunit ribosomal RNA
Source: RNAcentral